This 25-nucleotide non-coding RNA is filed under the name Rattus norvegicus (Norway rat). Lineage: Eukaryota; Metazoa; Chordata; Mammalia; Rodentia; Muridae. The record is from RNAcentral.
CAGAGAACGCUUUAGGUUUCCUGAA